AACUGUCAACCUUUUCGAUUUUCUUUUUGGAAAGGCUUGGACUUUGGAGGCUUUUGCUGGCUUUCCUUUCGGAAGCCAGCUCCUCUUAAACGAAUUAGUGGGGUCCUCUUCGCCGGUCCCUCGACGUUGAUAAGAAUUUCUCUACGUCCGAGGUUCGGCUCUGUUAGGCCCGCUUCUAACCGUCUCUCUUUGAGACACGUUUGAACC
Molecule: unclassified non-coding RNA, 207 nt
Filed under: uncultured Lactarius
Lineage: Eukaryota; Fungi; Basidiomycota; Agaricomycetes; Russulales; Russulaceae
Description: sequence contains ITS2
Source: RNAcentral